CUUUGUUAACUAAUUCUUAACUUGCUAAGAGAGAAAAAGAAGCAACUGACAUGCAGCAUAUCAAAAACCGAACUAGAAAACCAGUCAUAAGAAAAUUGAUUUUUUUUUAUUUCAUGGAAGAUGAUUUUUAUACAAAGCAUAUAAAACCAAAGAUUUCAAAAAUAAAAAUGAUGAUAAUUGUGCACGAAUGCAUGUGUUUUUUAUUACUUUUCAAAAUUUCUAAGUUUAGAAACAGAUUUGACAAUUGUGUGUAUUGUCAGCCGUUGAGAUAAAAAUGGGCCUCGUCAUUCCAUAGGUUGUUUCAAGGCCAUCAUUAUUCACUUUCAUCCAAGCUAAGAACAAAUGAGAAAAGUGCAAGUGAGUUUCCACAUUGUUUGGAAGCAAAAUUUAGACUCAGAUUAUCUUGUAAGGGAAAAAUU
Molecule: long non-coding RNA, 419 nt
Filed under: Androctonus crassicauda
Lineage: Eukaryota; Metazoa; Arthropoda; Arachnida; Scorpiones; Buthidae
Source: RNAcentral